GAUGAACGCUGGCGGCGUGCCUAAUACAUGCAAGUCGAGCGAACAGACGAGGAGCUUGCUCCUCUGACGUUAGCGGCGGACGGGUGAGUAACACGUGGAUAACCUACCUAUAAGACUGGGAUAACUUCGGGAAACCGGAGCUAAUACCGGAUAAUAUAUUGAACCGCAUGGUUCAAUAGUGAAAGACGGUUUUGCUGUCACUUAUAGAUGGAUCCGCGCCGCAUUAGCUAGUUGGUAAGGUAACGGCUUACCAAGGCAACGAUGCGUAGCCGACCUGGGAGGGGGAUCGGCCACACUGGAACUGAGACACGGUCCAGAGUCCUACGGGAGGCAGCAGUAGGGAAUCUUCCGCAAUGGGCGAAAGCCUGACGGAGCAACGCCGCGUGAGUGAUGAAGGUCUUCGGAUCGUAAAACUCUGUUAUUAGGGAAGAACAAAUGUGUAAGUAACUAUGCACGUCUUGACGGUACCUAAGCAGAAAACCACGGCUAACUACGU
Molecule: ribosomal RNA, 496 nt
Filed under: uncultured bacterium
Lineage: Bacteria
Description: partial 16S ribosomal RNA
Rfam family: Bacterial small subunit ribosomal RNA
Source: RNAcentral